UUGCUCGCUUCAGCAGCACAUAUACUAAAAUUGGAACGAUACAGAGAAGAUUAGCAUGGCCCCUGCAUGAGGAUGACAUGCAAAAAUGGGGGUGUGGAGGGAUUGUCU
Small nuclear RNA from Ochotona curzoniae (black-lipped pika), 108 nucleotides. Lineage: Eukaryota; Metazoa; Chordata; Mammalia; Lagomorpha; Ochotonidae. The record is from RefSeq and is a predicted model, not a curated record.